Molecule: ribosomal RNA, 390 nt
Filed under: uncultured bacterium
Lineage: Bacteria
Description: bacterial SSU rRNA
Rfam family: Bacterial small subunit ribosomal RNA
Source: RNAcentral
UGAACGCUGGCGGCAGGCCUAACACAUGCAAGUCGAGCGGAUGACGGGAGGCUUAGCUCCUUGAUUCAGCGGCGGACGGGUGAGUAAUGCCUAGGAAUCUGCCUGGGUAGUGGGGGACAACGUUUCGAAAGGAACGCUAAUACCGCAUACGUCCUACGGGAGAAAGCAGGGGACCUUCGGGCCUUGCGCUAUCAGAUGAGCCUAGGUCGGAUUAGCUUGUUGGUGAGGGUAAUGGCUCACCAAGGCGACGAUCCGUAACUGGUCUGAGAGGAUGAUCAGUCGACACUGGAACUGAGACACGGUCCAGGACUCCUACGGGAGGCAGGCUAGUGGGGAAUAGUUGGACAAUGGGCGAAAGCCUGAUCCAGCCAUGCCGCGUGGGUGAAGAAG